AGUGAACGCUGGCGGUAGGCCUAACACAUGCCAGUCGAACGGCAGCACAGUAAGAGCUUGCUCUUACGGGUGGCGAGUGGCGGACGGGUGAGGAAUACAUCGGAAUCUACUUUUUCGUGGGGGAUAACGUAGGGAAACUUACGCUAAUACCGCAUACGACCUACGGGUGAAAGCAGGGGAUCCUCGGACCUUGCGCGAUUGAAUGAGCCGAUGUCGGAUUAGCUAGUUGGCGGGGUAAAGGCCCACCAAGGCGACGAUCCGUAGCUGGUCUGAGAGGAUGAUCAGCCACACUGGAACUGAGACACGGUCCAGACUCCUACGGGAGGCAGCAGUGGGGAAUAUUGGACAAUGGGCGCAAGCCUGAUCCAGCCAUACCGCGUGGGUGAAGAAGGCCUUCGGGUUGUAAAGCCCUUUUGUUGGGAAAGAAAAGCAGCAGGUUAAUACCCCGCUGUUCUGACGGUACCCAAAGAAUAAGCACCGGCUAACUUCGUG
This 492-nucleotide ribosomal RNA is filed under the name uncultured bacterium. Its description in RNAcentral is "partial 16S ribosomal RNA". It matches the Rfam family "Bacterial small subunit ribosomal RNA", at positions 29 to 507 of the family's 1533-position model. The record is from RNAcentral.